GGGGUUGUGGCUCAGUGGUAGAGCACUCGCCUAGCAUGUGUGAGGCCCUGGGUUCGAUCCUCAGCACCACA
This 71-nucleotide transfer RNA is filed under the name Marmota monax (woodchuck). RNAcentral describes it as "tRNA.Ala". It matches the Rfam family "tRNA". Rfam says of the family: Transfer RNA (tRNA) molecules are approximately 80 nucleotides in length. Lineage: Eukaryota; Metazoa; Chordata; Mammalia; Rodentia; Sciuridae. The record is from RNAcentral.